UAACUAAAAGUUGAUGUUGAAAUUCUUUC
RNAcentral lists this non-coding RNA (29 nucleotides) under Rattus norvegicus (Norway rat). The record is from RNAcentral. Lineage: Eukaryota; Metazoa; Chordata; Mammalia; Rodentia; Muridae.